UUUCCGUAGGUGAACCUGCGGAAGGAUCAUUACAGAGUUCAUGCCCUCACGGGUAGAUCUCCCACCCUUGAAUAUUUAUACCUUAGUUGCUUUGGCAGGCCGUGGAAACACCAUGGGCUCCGGCUUUUGCGUGCCUGCCAGAGGAAACAAACUCUGUUUUUAGUGAUGUCUGAGUACUAUAUAAUAGUUAAAACUUUCAACAACGGAUCUCUUGGUUCUG
RNAcentral lists this unclassified non-coding RNA (220 nucleotides) under plant metagenome. RNAcentral's name for it is "partial contains small subunit ribosomal RNA, internal transcribed spacer 1, and 5.8S ribosomal RNA". The record is from RNAcentral.